GCAACCCGGAGAACUGAAACAUCUAAGUACCCGGAGGAGAAGAAAACAAAAGUGAUUCCGCUAGUAGUGGCGAGCGAACGCGGAAUAGCCCAAACCAUUAUUGUUACGGCAAUACUGGGGUUGUAGGACUGCGAUAUUGGUUGUGUAAUGAAUUAGAAUCCUUUGGAAAGAGGAACCAUAGAGGGUGAUAGUCCCGUAUAAGUAAAGAUCAUUAACCAUAGCAGUAUCCUGAGUAGUGCGGGACACGUGUAAUCCUGUAUGAAUUUGGCGGGACCAUCCGCUAAGGCUAAAUACUCCUGAGAGACCGAUAGUGAACUAGUACCGUGAGGGAAAGGUGAAAAGAACCCUGAAUAAGGGAGUGAAAUAGAACCUGAAACCAUACGCUUACAAGCGGUCGGAGCCCUUUGGGGUGACGGCGUGCCUUUUGCAUAAUGAGCCUACGAGUUACCGUUUCUAGCAAGGUUAAGCACUUCAGGUGCGGAUCCGUAGCGAAAGCGAGUCUGAAUAGGGCGAUAUAGUUAGUGGCGGUAGACGCGAAACCGUGUGAUCUACCCAUGGGCAGGGUGAAGCUGUGGUAACACAUAGUGGAGGCCCGAACCCGUUGACGUUGAAAAGUCUUGGGAUGACCUGUGGGUAGGGGUGAAAGGCCAAUCAAACUCGGAAAUAGCUCGUACUCCCCGAAAUGCAUUUAGGUGCAGCGUAUUAUUAGUUUUAUAGAGGUAGAGCUACUGAUUGGAUGCGGGGGCUUCACCGCCUACCAAUUCCUGACAAACUCCGAAUGCUAUAAAAUGAU
This 793-nucleotide ribosomal RNA is filed under the name uncultured bacterium. RNAcentral describes it as "bacterial LSU rRNA". It matches the Rfam family "Bacterial large subunit ribosomal RNA", at positions 180 to 974 of the family's 2925-position model. The record is from RNAcentral.